RNAcentral lists this long non-coding RNA (809 nucleotides) under Nicotiana tabacum (common tobacco). RNAcentral's name for it is "long non-coding RNA (NTAB_LNC010970)". The record is from RNAcentral. Lineage: Eukaryota; Viridiplantae; Streptophyta; Magnoliopsida; Solanales; Solanaceae.
UCCCCGAUCCCUCUAUUUAUAGCUUUUAGUGCUCUUCCACAGUUCCACUUUCAUAUCCCUCCUCCAUAGCACAACUCUUGCGAAGGCGAAGGCAGCAACAUCGAAAGCCGUAGCAACGGAAAAGCACAUGCGACAAUAGACGAAUACUUAGUAUGGAUUUUGUAGUAUAAUGUUUUUCCCUUUCUUUCUAACUUGUUACUAACUAACUCUUCUCCCCUGCUCCUUAAACUCUGAUUUGCAGAAUGCUAACAGCAACAUGAACUACACAAUUCUAUUCAACUAUAUGGGUGUCAAUAAAGACAUCAAGCAAGCAAGCCACAUGCUGGUACAAGCUCAACAAAAUUAAGAAGGCAAAGUAGAAGAGGUGGGACAGUACAAAUAUUAUUGUGUUGUAGUCGGAAUGCAGGCAAUAGACAACCUGGAAGUUUUUCUCGAGGAUAAGUCAAGUUGGAGUGGAACUAGGGCUGGCAAGUGGGUCAGGCCAGGUCCGGGAGCGGCUCGGGACCGCGGGCUAAACGGACUAAAUGGGUUAAACGUGCUGAGACCUUUGGCCCGCGAUUGGUGGGCUCGUGCCGGUCUAGUGGGCCGGGACAAACUGGCCCAACGGAAUUUUAAAAAAAAAAAAUAGUCGUUGCCUUUUAAAAAGAGUCGUUGGCUCUUCAAAAAAUAUCUAUUUAACCCCUCCAACUAAUUAUUAACCCCAAACUUUUUAUUAUUGCACUUUUUUCCUAUUUUCUACUAUAAAUACCUCUCAUUCUUUCAUUUUCUUACAAAAUCAAUAUCAAUCUAUCAAAAUCUCUCUUUAAUUU